CCUAACACAUGCAAGUCGAACGGUAACAGGAAACAGCUUGCUGUUUCGCUGACGAGUGGCGGACGGGUGAGUAAUGUCUGGGAAACUGCCUGAUGGAGGGGGAUAACUACUGGAAACGGUAGCUAAUACCGCAUAACGUCGCAAGACCAAAGAGGGGGACCCUCGGGCCUCUUGCCAUCGGAUGUGCCCAGAUGGGAUUAGCUUGUUGGUGGGGUAACGGCUCACCAAGGCGACGAUCCCUAGCUGGUCUGAGAGGAUGACCAGCCACACUGGAACUGAGACACGGUCCAGACUCCUACGGGAGGCAGCAGUGGGGAAUAUUGCACAAUGGGCGCAAGCCUGAUGCAGCCAUGCCGCGUGUAUGAAGAAGGCCUUCGGGUUGUAAAGUACUUUCAGCGGGGAGGAAGGGAGUAAAGUUAAUACCUUUGCUCAUUGACGUUACCCGCAGAAGAAGCACCGGCUAACUCCGUGCCAGCAGCCGCGGUAAUACGGAGGGUGCAAGCGUUAAUCGGAAUUACUGGGCGUAAAGCGCACGCAGGCGGUUUGUUAAGUCAGAUGUGAAAUCCCCGGGCUCAACCUGGGAACUGCAUCUGAUACUGGCAAGCUUGAGUCUCGUAGAGGGGGGUAGAAUUCCAGGUGUAGCGGUGAAAUGCGUAGAGAUCUGGAGGAAUACCGGUGGCGAAGGCGGCCCCCUGGACGAAGACUGACGCUCAGGUGCGAAAGCGU
Molecule: ribosomal RNA, 726 nt
Filed under: uncultured bacterium
Lineage: Bacteria
Description: bacterial SSU rRNA
Rfam family: Bacterial small subunit ribosomal RNA
Source: RNAcentral